AGAGUGAACGCUCUUCUUACAAAAUCUCAUCAUGGUAUGUUAUUGUUAUGUAGUAGCAUAUACCAAAAUGGAAAAAACAAAGAUUAAAGAAGCAUAUGAAUGUAUACUAUAAAAAUAUUAAGAAAAUCUCCGAAAAUGAGUAAAAUGAAAAUUAAGUUGGAGAGGGAGAUGAGGUUAUUAAUAACAUCCUUACGCCAGAGAGAGAGAGAGAGAGAG
RNAcentral lists this unclassified non-coding RNA (216 nucleotides) under Hevea brasiliensis (rubber tree). The record is from RNAcentral. Lineage: Eukaryota; Viridiplantae; Streptophyta; Magnoliopsida; Malpighiales; Euphorbiaceae.